UACGGAGGAUGCGAGCGUUAUCCGGAUUUAUUGGGUUUAAAGGGUGCGUAGGCGGAUCGUUAAGUCAGUGGUCCAAUUGAGGGGCUCAACCCCUUCCCGCCAUUGAAACUGGCGCUCUUGAGUGGAAGAGAAGCAUGCGGAAUGCGUGGUGUAGCGGUGAAAUGCAUAGAUAUCACGCAGAACCCCGAUUGCGAAGGCAGCAUGCCGGCUUCCGACUGACGCUGAAGCACGAAAGCGUGGGGAUCGAACAGG
Molecule: ribosomal RNA, 252 nt
Filed under: uncultured bacterium
Lineage: Bacteria
Description: partial 16S ribosomal RNA
Rfam family: Bacterial small subunit ribosomal RNA
Source: RNAcentral